Anguilla rostrata (American eel) is the source of this 7906-nucleotide long non-coding RNA. RefSeq lists it as uncharacterized. The record is from RefSeq and is a predicted model, not a curated record. The transcript has 4 exons. NCBI's taxonomy places the organism in Eukaryota, Metazoa, Chordata, Actinopteri, Anguilliformes, Anguillidae.
AUUACUUGCAAUAUUUUCCCUUUUUCUUUCCAACUGAAAAGCCUUAAGUUUUACUGUUGAAAUCAAUAUUUUUUUGUGCAACAUUUAUUUAUUUGCUCUCAAUCAGAAAUGCUUUGCUUUAAAAUUUUGACACAAAUCUUUCCGAAUACAUACAAUUAAUUUUUUGAACCAAAUGACCGUCACGUGACUACCGAUUACAACAAACAAUCCUGCCAGCGGGGUCCUUUGUUAUGAUGAAACGGUUUCCUUCGCAAUCAAUCUGUACCUUUCACAUUUCUGACGUCGAGUUAAAUAAACAUCGUCAAUAGCUGAUAGAGCGGUAGACCAUUCUGUACAAAAUAGGGCUAUUGUAAUUUCAUUUCCCAAGUUGAACUUCAAGAUUGGAAAACAGUAACAGUUUGAUUUGGCAAGAUUAACUUUCUGGCUUGCAGGACACAAUGAACCGCUAUCAUCUAAACGAGUAUCCAAAGCGAAAAUUGAAGAAACAUAGGGAGGUUUCAUUUGGCGGAAAUUCUGUUGAACACUAAGGUAAUCCUGCAUCAGCUGUUCUAUUUUUAUUUUUUAAGUCGCUGCUACUACCUGUUGACGCUACUACCAGGAACACCACUUCUGCUAGUAGCUUGGCAACUAGGCCUACACUCCACAAUGAGACAGCAACGCCUGAGUGUGCUUUAGCCUACUUAUAGUCCCGUGGCUUCUGCUAGUUUGAAGUCGAGGAAGAAGACGUUCAAGGGUGACUGUAUGUGUUAAAGGAUAUGGGCAACUGCCAAAUAAAGCAAUAAGGAGACUCAGUUGGCCAUCCAAAAAGUAGCAACUGAAUCAACGAAUCAACCAGACAAAACUAAUCAACCCACUAAACUUCCAGCCAACAAGCAAGCAGCCAAAUCAAGGACCAAAUCAGGUCACCCCAGACGUGGUGGAACAUUCUGGAAAAGCUCUUGCACGUCCGGCAAGAGGAGUUGAACCGACAAGAUCUGGGCCCCUCUCUGAGUUCUGAGCCACCAGUAGGCACUCCCACCAAGUACUCAAGCUUCAGGAGUUACCCUAAGACCCCAGAACUACCAGAACAUUCUUGAAUGACACAUCUUUGAGACCGGUGCGCCUCGGCCUGGCUCUGCCGGAGAGAGAGGGAGGGCGUGACCUUCAGCCUCGCGGGGUCACGCUCGGCGCGGGGAAGACGGGCGCGUUCGAUUCGUGGAAAACACACACGGGCUACCGCAGACGCCGUGACGCACGGGGCGCCGAAAUACUACACCUGCUGUCUGGCGCGUUGACGCACACACACACACACACACACACAGACGCACGCACACAUACACACAGAGACACAUAUACACCAGAGCAAAGUCAAGCUGUCCAAAUAAGGGAGUGUUACUGGAACCAGAUAUCUGCUGCAGAUAGUCUGACUGCGACAAAAAAUGUGAGACCAAGACUGCUGAGAAAACAGACCACCUUCAGUUUUACCCUCCAUUAUGACCUCACUGCCACCAUGACAACAGGGCAGUGGAACAAGAGCCCCCGCCACUGAUCUGAGAUCAGCGCGGAAGCUACUCUUUUUCCGCUGUCCUCCUGGCUGAGGUUGCCCAGCCACUGAUCUGGGAACAGCAGGGAAGCACCCUGUCUCGUUCCUCCCUCCCGACACAGCCGGCCUCUGCAUUAUUAACAGGGGCUGAAAGACACACCGGGCCAGUUGAGCCGGGGCCAGUGGAAUGACACUGCAUCUGCUGAUGUCCCCAGUGCUUAAGCCUUCGCCCCUGGGGACCCCUAUAUCUCAAGCCUCUCAUUGUAAAUUUACUAUCUGCGAAGUGUCGGGGGGGGGGGGGGUGGUUGGGGGAUUGGGUAGAUGGGUAGGAGAUGUGACAGAAAUACAGGGGUUACCUUACAGCUGCCGCUUUGAGAGAGAGACCCCAGAGAGCAUCAUCCAGGACAAACAAGCAGUCAAUCAUUUAUACAGUGCACUGUAAACACUGUGCAUCCAUGAAAUGCGUUAUAGUUACAAACUACUCUAGAGCAUAUAGCUACCUAGCAUUAUGUGUACACAUAGACAAACAAAAAAUAUUAAAUUAUAAGUCCAUAUGUGUACACAUAGACUAUUCCGUACUUACUAUUUUGUGUUUGCUUUUCGUAUUACUUAUUUGUGUUGAUUUAGAUUUUUGAUCUUCAUUUAUGUUAAUUAGGAUUGUAACAGUUUUCAGUGUUAUUAUUUCUUGUUUUUAUUUAAUUUUUUAUACAUUUUUCCAUUUCCUCAGCACCAUUGAAGAACCCCGGUGCGCUGAAACGGCAGCUGUCUGCGGUAUCGGCGGCGGUUAGCUGGCCGUAGCGGUGACGCCCGGCGCGGUCGGUUUGGUCCCAUGAAUAAUGCACCUGGCUCGCCGACGGUUCACUUGCGGCAGACGGGCAGGAGGAUCGGUUUACACCGGCGACAGCCGCUCCCCGAGCUGCGUGCUGAAAUUACCGUCAUUACGGCUCGUCGCCGCGGCGCUGACCGUAACCACGUAACCACGCACUUAAUGCCACGAUGAGAAAUUUAUCUAAAUAAUUUUGGUCAAAUUCUGAAAAUUUUGUACGUAAUUUUAAAAUGAUGUUCUUUUCCAGACAGAAAGUUGCUAAAGUGUAGAACAGCUUGCCAAGAAGCAGAGGCCCUUGGGCUGCGUGAGAUUAGGCUCGACACCGUUCUGAACACUCUCUGCUCAACAGAAACGGAGACAAGCUGAGAUGAGCUGAACGGUUUGUUCUCCUCAGCAAAUAUUCAUGUCUGAAUGUUCAUUUUCCCUCAGGCAGUGUCCUCCUGCACCCAGGGCUCAUAGCUGAGAUUCUGUGGGGGGGGGAAACAGCUCUUUGGACGAGAGCGCUGUGAGUUUGUAUUCAAAGGGUCUGAGGGGCAUAGGGGGCGUGAUGGGGGCACGGGGGGGGGGGGGGGGUGUUGACACUGGUAUUGUGCCGCCGCUUUAAUCAGACCCUCGCCUCGCCACACAGACGAGCCAGUCCGCCGGACCGCUCCUUAUUGUGUUAUUAUUGGAUUAGGACAACGACCGCAAUUAAGUGACUGGAUUAUCAUCUCUCGCUCCUCCUUUUAAAUUAGUCUGGUGUGUGGUGUGGUGGUGGGGGGGGGGGUGUGCUGGUGCUUUGGGGGGGUUGGCUAACAGCUGCUGCGAGCGGGUGGAUGGGCCGUUGGCCAGGCAGACGCAAUAAAGGAAGAAUUCGAGUGCCAUCGAACCACGCUGGCACCGGUGUGGAGGGGGUGGCGGGUGAGGUGCUGGCACACGGACGCUCAGCUUGGCAGGACGUGGGACAGCUUUUAAGCUAGACGGGGGGGGGGGGGGUAAGGGGGCCCUGGGAUGGCUGUAAUUGGCGAUGAGUGACAGAGGCGCGUAUAGCCUCCCUUCGGGGUAAUCGUACCCGUCUCGAGGCCUGAAGAGGUCGCGGUUCUAAAGCCUGCAGAUUAAGGAAAGACAGCAGGGGCGUAGCUUAAAAGGCUGGAUGGGGGACAGAGGACGAGGCGGACGGAGGGGUCUGUCCGCCGCUGGUUCAAACCGGGGAGGCUUCUUAACCUUGAGCACAACCUCUGUGGAAAUCAGAGAUAGCAGUGGGCUCAUGGCAAGGAUUUAGCGGGAAAGGGUAGACGAAGGAGGGGUGGGACUUUGGGAAUUAGUCGGAGGAAAGGGGGAUGGAGGGAGGAGCAAAGAGAGAGGGAUGAACUGUAAUAAUGUAAAAGAGGCCCGGGGUGCCUCGCGAAUACACUGUGGGUCAUGGGCUCCACCAGCAUGGUGUGUUACACUGACAUUGUCAGCACUGACCACGGCCUGGCAGGUCGGCGCAGUGGGUGGGCUGCCCAGGUUGGGAGCGGUUCAGACAGCCUAAGUUCCAGCCUCUGCCUGCACUACCUGGACAUGGAGCAAAUUCCUCUGAACGACGGGUGCAUCGUUGGCGGACCAUGAAGUAAAAGAACAGAUCAGCUGCUUGGUGGAUCAUUUGGUGAAGGCUCCACGCUGCUGUGCAUGGAGGAGCUCCAUAGUCUCGGAUUGAAUCCAGACUGCACCUGUGCCAACUGUGUCCUGCACCUCCACAGGGCGACGUGCAUUUGCCCAGGGUACGAGAGGGUUCAGUCGGUUCGUGGUCCGUGUUUCAUUAUUCUCUAGGAAGCCCCACUGGUCAAACGGGCCCCCAUGGACUGCAUGCUAAAAAGCUGCAUAUGAAUGGUCUUCCUCCGACCCCACUCUAUGCAAGCUUAGCUGUAGUCAAAUCGACAGUGGGAUUUGCGCAUGAAUGCGACUGCGGUUGCUGACAAUUGGACUUUCCAAAUUAGGGUGUUAAUUGGACAUAUACAGCCCCACCAAAAUUACAUGUAAACUAAUACUACUAAUAAUAAUAAUAAUAUAAAGAACCAAUGACUGGUUUUUUGGCUGACAGCCUGCAAUAUUUCCGUCUGCUGCUCUCCCGGAUCAUGAGAUGAGACCAGCUCGGUGAUACAAUCAGGCAUCCCAAGUUGGGAGAAAAAGAAUGAACUGGGGACGAGAAAUUUUUAAAAGAAAUGGAGAGAGCAGUGAAAAGAGAGGUAGAGAAAAGACGGAUGCGGGUGGUGUGAGUGCCAAGCGGCGGAAAGAAACGGCUCCGGAUUUUUCUCGGAAAAAGUGGGAAUCUCAAACAGGAUUAUACUCCCGCAGAAACUUCAUGGUACUGAGUGAGGGAUUAGUGGGUGGGGAGACUGAGAGAGAGCGAGAAGAGCAAGAGGUGAGGUGAAGGGGGGAAGGAGGAUGGGAAGAGAAGAAAGAGAAGGGUGCAUACAGAGAGAGAGGGAAAGAGCCUGCCCCUUUCCCACCCCCACCCCCAGGGGAAAAAAACUGAAUCCAGAGAGAACUGGUCAGAGAAAAGAACAGCUGCAGCAUCCCAGUGAUAGACAGGGAUCGGGAAGUAGAUAGAGGAUAGAGGGAGAGAAGGAUGAGAGGGGAGAGAACAAGAGGAAGGAGGAACGAGUGACUGACAGUACGAAAAGAGGAAGAAAUGGGAAAAUGAGACAACAAAAAUGAUGAUAUAGAGAAAGGGAAAUAGGGAGCUUUACUGAAAGAGAGGGAUGGAGAAGGAGAGAGAGGGGGGAGAGUAACAGAAAGAGAGAGAGGGGGAAAGAGAGAGAGAGGCUUAGAGGGAGGGAGGCAGCUUGCUUGUGCUGCGGCAAUUACGUUGGCUAAUGCAGUGGAGAACUGGCUGUGAUGUCACCCUCUGCAGAACAACAAGGUCACUUGAACCCCCAAAGGCAGAGUCCCUCCGCCUCCUCACACCCCCCCACCCCCACCCCCACCCUACUCCCACUCCACCACUCUCCUCAGUCCUGCGGAGAGACCUCGGUUUUGGGCUUAAAUGAACCAACCACUUUUAAACCACUGUAUAAUUCAAAACAUGGGAGCCUAGCCACUCACCGACAGAGCGCAUGACCCUUUGCUGUGUGUUGUGCAGGGAGAUCAGCUGUAUCCAAUUUGGGGGGGGUGGGGAUCAAACCUUAUCUCGAUUUCUUUAUGAGGUAAUUCGAUCUGUAGGUUCACCCUCCAAGCGCAGUGCCGGGCAGGGUACUUAAUGAGGAGUGCCCGGCACGGGGGCAGCGGAAUCUCCUGGUACUGAACUAACAGCCUUCCGGGAAUGGGACCCGCCACUUCGCUUGAACCACAGAGCCACAGAUCCUUCUCCAAACAAGGCCUUGCUGCGGUGCGCAGUAACAGAACAAGACCCAGACAGCAAUUAAGCGGAGAUGGAAGUUUAACUGGUUGUUAAAUGAGAAAUCCCCCCCCCCACCCCAGAUGCAAGCUAACAUGCUUUCGAUGUGCUUUCAGAAAGGCCCUUCAUCCUUGACGAACAGCUGCUGAUGCAGUACUGUCACAUGCACCUAAACCCCACCCCCCCACCACCCUCAUGGAUGUUACUGGAUUUGAAGAGUCAGAAACUUGCAUAAAAUGUGAAAAACCCUCCAUCUAAACAACCUUGAAGUGUGUUUACGCGUGCAGCUCCCUUCAGCAGCCCGUCUGGGCGAGAACAGCGUUUGAUCCCCUGCAAUGAAGGGACGCUUUACUUCAUAAUCCGCAGCUUGCCGCAAAACGCACUUCUGGGAAACAGAAAACUUUUCGGGCUUUACGCUGCCAGAUUUUUCCCACACUGGAGGAAAUAAAAACACAGGACUCGGUGCAAAACUUUCCUUGUUGAGUUGUACUGGUACUUCCAGGAAGGAAACAAGCUGAGUUUGAGUGCCAGACAUGUGCGGAGCAGCAUGUCCACAGGUUAAAUCAGGCCAGACCCAGGCUUGCAUCAUCACAACAGUAUACCAAAGGCAGACACGAGAAAGAGGAGGUUUGACAGCAGAAACCCCGAUGCACUGUGUGGACUUUCACCUUUCUUUUAAAUAAUCAAUGGGCCUCAUUCACAAAAUAUGCGUACGAUCACAUUUGAUCGUAAACUGUAUGUAAGAACGUUUCCACGAACAUUUUGGCAUUCAGUCAUUUUUUUCUCAUCUAUACUUGUUCUGUACUUGGCUGUUUCAUUAUGCUAAUCACAUGAACAGGAUUCCAGAACAAAAAGAGUCUACCUUAACAAGUGUUGGUCUCUAAUAUUGUUAUCUCAAGUAGAAAAUAUGUGUGGCCAAGCCUGCACUAUGGGACUCGACCUGCGCUGUGAGGCUCGACCUGCGCUGUGGGGCUCGCCCUGCACUGUGGGGCCCAGCCUGUGCUGUGGGGCUCGCCCUGCACUGUGGGGCCCAGCCUGUGCUGUGGGGCCCAGCCUGUGCUGUGGGGCUCAGCCUGCGCUGUGGGGCCCAGCCUGUGCUAUGGGGCCCAUCGUGUGCUGUGGGGCUCAGCCUGCUCUAUGGGGCCCAGCCUGUGCUAUGGGGCCCAGCGUGUGCUGUGGGGCUCAGCCUGCUCUGUGGGGCCCAGCGUGUGCUGUGGGGCUCAGCCUGCUCUGUGGGAUGGGUGAGGGGGGGGGGUACUGGAUUGGGGCUGUGUGGUAGGAAGAUAGAUGUUUGAGGAGGUGGUGAUUUGGGGGUGUGUAGUGGGCAGGUGGGGGGAAGGGUUUGGAUCGGGGGUCCGGUUUCAGCAGCUGAGUCGGGCUCUGCUGUCGGGUGAAACCCCAAACCUGGCACGUGCCCCGUCCUCUGGCAUGACCCCCCAGGAGAGGCGAGGUUGGGGGGGCGAAGGGAGGAGCGUUGGCGAAAUCAUUUGGAAACCCAAUAAAGCCAACAGCUGUUAAGAGUCAUAGAACUCCCUCACCCCUCCACCAGGAGUUAAAGUGCUUAAUGGUUUAUUGGGUGGCCUGCGUCAGUGUUUACAGACAUGCUUAUGUGUCAAACUUUGCAUGGCUUAGGAGCGAUACUGCAAAAAAAGUCUGUCUUAACAAGUGUUGGUCUCUAAUGUCAUUCUGUCAAGUAGAAAAUACCUGCUUGUUUUAACUUGACAAGUGAAAUUUUCUUACCCUACUGACAAAUCCUGAAAUGCGUCAAACUGUCACACCUCAUUGGCGAUCCUUUUGCCUUAUUUAGCAAAAAAUUUUGGCUUAUUUUUUGGCGAGUUGCAGUGGACAACCAUGAGCUGUCAAACGGGCUUUGCCACCACCGGAUGGGCCCCCGGCACGCCUGCAGCGCUCCAGCACGUUCACUUCGCACGUGCGCUCGCUCAGAGUGCCUGCUUCUGCUGAACGGGGCGCACGGAUUCCCUUCCAGCAUCUCAGCGUGGGGGAGCUGUCCGCGGUUAUGAUUGAUGUUUACUCACGAAAUACUCGCCCUGAUAUUUUUGGUAAACACCGAUGCGUUUGGAUGGUGUGUCGUUUAAAACAGCAGCGACAAAUGGUAUGUUCCUCUAUAAACCAGUGCGUUACACCGUGCAUAAUUUCAAAUGGCCGCGACAAACGGUAUGUUCCUCUAUAAACUAUUAAA